This is a non-coding RNA of Salmo salar (Atlantic salmon), 429 nucleotides long. Lineage: Eukaryota; Metazoa; Chordata; Actinopteri; Salmoniformes; Salmonidae. The record is from RefSeq and is a predicted model, not a curated record.
CGUGCAGAAUUCUAUACUCUUACAACUGCAACUUAACUCUACAUGUCGUUGACCAUAUGUUCUUAUCUCUUAACGCCAACCACAGGCACUCAAUUAUAGGCUCAUAUCUAAGAGUAACUUGGACCAUUAGCAAGAUUGUCACAUAGUAAUUCGAUAUGACUAUCUGCCCUGGGAGCUUUGUAGCUGGAGAAGAUCAGCAGGAAGACUUUGUUAAACAUGUUGAAUGCUUUGCACUUGUUUUCACAUAGGGGUUUUGAUUGUGGGGUGAUGUUGUGAAAUGGUUUUGGGGAAGAUUUGAAGUGGGUGGCAGAGGGAAAGUCAAAUCAGUCCUGAAAGCUUUUUAUGGGGAGUGUGUAAUGUCUCUAAAAGCUGAUGUAUAGCAAAGGAACAACAUUUGAAAAAGCAAAGCUUAAAGAUAUAUCUAACCUA